This 497-nucleotide ribosomal RNA is filed under the name uncultured bacterium. RNAcentral describes it as "partial 16S ribosomal RNA". It matches the Rfam family "Bacterial small subunit ribosomal RNA", at positions 28 to 507 of the family's 1533-position model. The record is from RNAcentral.
GAUGAACGCUGGCGGCGUGCCUAAUACAUGCAAGUCGAGCGGACGGACGAGAAGCUUGCUUCUCUGAUGUUAGCGGCGGACGGGUGAGUAACACGUGGAUAACCUACCUAUAAGACUGGGCUAGCUUAGGGAAACCGGAGCUAAUACCGGCUGAUAUUUUGAACCGCAUGGUUCAAGAGUGAAAGACGGUCUUGCUGUCACUUAUAGAUGGAUCCGCGCUGCAUUAGCUAGUUGGUAAGGUAACGGCUUACCAAGGCAACGAUGCAUAGCCGACCUGAGAGGGUGAUGGGCCACUGUGGAACUGAGACACGGUCCAGACUCCUACGUGAGGCACCGGUAGGUACGCUUCGGCAAUGGGCGAAAGCCUGAAGGAGCAACGCCGGGUGAGUGAAGAAGGUCUUCGGAGCGGAUAACUCUGUUAGUGGGGAAGAACACAUUUGUAAGGAACGGUGCACAUCUUGACGGUACCUAAUGAGAAAGCCACGGCUAACUACGUG